UACGUAGGUGGCAAGCGUUGUCCGGAUUUACUGGGCGUAAAGAGCGCGCAGGCGGUCGUUCAAGUCGCGUGUGAAAGCCCCCGGCUCAACUGGGGAGGGUCACGCGAUACUGAUCGACUCGAAGGCAGGAGAGGGAAGUGGAAUUCCCGGUGUAGUGGUGAAAUGCGUAGAUAUCGGGAGGAACCCCAGUGGCGAAGGCGACUUCCUGGCCUGUUCUUGACGCUGAGGCGCGAAAGCUAGGGGAGCAAACGGG
RNAcentral lists this ribosomal RNA (253 nucleotides) under uncultured bacterium. RNAcentral describes it as "partial 16S ribosomal RNA". It matches the Rfam family "Bacterial small subunit ribosomal RNA", at positions 524 to 776 of the family's 1533-position model. The record is from RNAcentral.